GCUCCAAUAGCGUAUAUUAAAGUUGUUGCAGUUAAAUAGCUCGUAGUUGAAUUUUGGGCUGGGUUGGUCGGUCUCGCCGCAAGGUGAGCACUGGUCCGACCUGGUCUUUCCUUCUGGGGAUCCAUCGUGCUCUUUACUGAGUGCGGUGGGGAACCAGGACUUUUACUUUGAAAAAAUUAGAGUGUUCAAAGCAGGCGUUU
RNAcentral lists this ribosomal RNA (200 nucleotides) under uncultured eukaryote. Its description in RNAcentral is "partial 18S ribosomal RNA". It matches the Rfam family "Eukaryotic small subunit ribosomal RNA", at positions 588 to 789 of the family's 1831-position model. The record is from RNAcentral.